AGAGCUAUCUUUUCCUUUGUGGAAUUCUACUAACUUGGAUUUUGAUGUACAGAUCCAAAUUUUAACUGGAUUGUCGAGCUUAAGGAAUUCGCACACCCAGCUACUCAAACUUUCUCUGCUAUUGGAACAAUAGGACCAACAUUUUUCCUUGCAAUUGCCAUGUUUGGUUUUGUGUUUCAAGUUGGUUCUUUGAUCACUGAGAAAGAACUUAAACUUCGCCAGGCAAUGUCUAUUAUGGGUCUUUAUGAAUCUGCCUAUUGGUUGUCAUGGCUUACAUAGGAGACUUUUCCGACACUUCUAUCAUCACUUUUCUCAAUACUCUUCGAAAUGAUGUUUCAGUUUGACUUCUUCCUUCACAACAGUUUUGUGAUUCUGUUCCUUGUGUUCUUCCUUUUUCAAUUCAAUAUGAUUGGUUUUGCCUUCAUGAUUUCAACUUUCAUUAGCAAGUCAUCAUCAGCCACCACUGUUGGA
Molecule: long non-coding RNA, 471 nt
Organism: Magnolia sinica
Lineage: Eukaryota; Viridiplantae; Streptophyta; Magnoliopsida; Magnoliales; Magnoliaceae
Exons: 3
Source: RefSeq, a predicted model, not a curated record